This 345-nucleotide unclassified non-coding RNA is filed under the name Burkholderia thailandensis E264. RNAcentral describes it as "sRNA". Lineage: Bacteria; Pseudomonadati; Pseudomonadota; Betaproteobacteria; Burkholderiales; Burkholderiaceae. The record is from RNAcentral.
UCGCGCAUUGGCAAGCGCUGAACGCGCGCGCGGCGCACGAAUCGGCGAAGGCCGGCCCGCGCUUCGACAAGCGCGGGCAACUGCUGCCGCGCGAGCGGCUCGCGCUGCUCGUCGACGCCGGCGCGCCGUUUCUCGAGCUUGCGUCGCUCGCCGGCUAUCUGGUCGGCGAAAGCGAUCCGGACCAAUCGGUGCCGGGCGCGGGGCUCAUCGGCGGCAUCGGCUACGUGAGCGGCACGCGCUGCAUGAUCGUCGUCGCCGAUUCGGGCAUCGACGCGGGCGCGCUGCAACCGAUGGGCCUCGAGAAGUUUCAGCGGCUGCAGCGGAUCGCGCUCGAGCACCGGCUGC